RNAcentral lists this ribosomal RNA (406 nucleotides) under uncultured bacterium. RNAcentral describes it as "bacterial SSU rRNA". It matches the Rfam family "Bacterial small subunit ribosomal RNA", at positions 29 to 481 of the family's 1533-position model. The record is from RNAcentral.
AACGAACGCUGGCGGCAGGCCUAACACAUGCAAGUCGAACGCUGCAGCAAUGCAGAGUGGCAGACGGGUGAGUAACGCGUGGGAACCUUCCCAGUGGUACGGAAUAGCCCAGGGAAACUUGGGGUAAUACCGUAUAAGCCCCUAGGGGGAAAGAUUUAUCGCCAUUGGAUGGGCCCGCGUCGGAUUAGCUAGUUGGUGAGGUAACGGCUCACCAAGGCAACGAUCCGUAGCUGGUUUGAGAGAAUGACCAGCCACACUGGGACUGAGACACGGCCCAGACUCCUACGGGAGGCAGCAGUGGGGAAUCUUGGACAAUGGGCGCAAGCCUGAUCCAGCCAUGCCGCGUGAGUGACGAAGGCCUUAGGGUUGUAAAGCUCUUUUGGCGGGACGAUAAUGACGGUACCCG